RNAcentral lists this long non-coding RNA (557 nucleotides) under Gossypium raimondii (Peruvian cotton). RNAcentral describes it as "long non-coding RNA (GRAI_LNC009032)". The record is from RNAcentral. Lineage: Eukaryota; Viridiplantae; Streptophyta; Magnoliopsida; Malvales; Malvaceae.
UUAUAGAAAUAAUUAUUUAUUUGCCAAAACCCCACCAUUUUUUUAAAUUACAAAUUAUUUAAUGAUUUGUCAGCAUUUCCUUAACAAUCAUUCUAUGAAUGAACCUUAUGACUAGGACUCCAUUAUGAAACAACCAACUGACCAAUCCAAAUAGUACAACUCUAAAAUAAAAUUAUUUAAUUUAUCAAGGUUAAUUUUUGCUUUUUUGUCCACUAAUAUUUAGAAUUUAAUUAUUAUAUUUAACUUUGCGUAAUUUGGUCUUUCUAUUUCUUUUUGUAUUUUUCAAGGUCAAGAGGGACAUCGCCGGUAGGACUAGUAGCGGUAGCCUGAGAAGGACGGGAGGAACUAGUAGCACUACCAUCUCUAGAAGCUCCAGUUCGUGCACUUGGAGGGCUUCCACCGGGGGAUGAGGCGGCGACAGAAACCACGCCAGCAAGCGCAAUCAAAACCAAUGCAAGAACAACAAGUUGGCGUGCCAUUUUUGUUUCGUAAUGUGGUCUGUGUUUAUUAAGCAAGAAAAUUAAGAAAAGAAAGAAAAAAUGUGAUUAGGACGGGAG